Molecule: long non-coding RNA, 335 nt
Organism: Cervus elaphus (red deer)
Lineage: Eukaryota; Metazoa; Chordata; Mammalia; Artiodactyla; Cervidae
Exons: 3
Source: RefSeq, a predicted model, not a curated record
GCCGUCUCCGACGCGGGUGUGCGGAGCGGAGCCCGCGGCCCCUGCUUCGGGACGAUUCUCUAGAGGCCGCGGCCAGGGGUCGCACAGCGGCGGGAUGUCACAGAGGGAUGGUGGACAGAUGACCUCUUUCUGUGGUUCUGCGGAAUGAGCUGUAGCAAAACCAGUGCUGGACCUGGAUGCUAAGGGUGAAGAUGGCAGAUCUUCAUGAGAAGUGGAAACGUGGGGACUAGAUGGGUCGCUGAGAGAUGUGGUCCUAAGGUCUGCUCACUCACAGAUCAGGAGGGGUGGUUCACAUCAAGAGCCCCACCAUGCGAUCCUCCCACUCUGCUUAAUCA